AUUGAACGCUGGCGGCAUGCCUUACACAUGCAAGUCGAACGGCAGCACGGGAGCAAUCCUGGUGGCGAGUGGCGAACGGGUGAGUAAUGUAUCGGAACGUACCUUUCAGUGGGGGAUAACGUAGCGAAAGUUACGCUAAUACCGCAUAUUCUGUGAGCAGGAAAGCAGGGGAUCGCAAGACCUUGCGCUGAUUGAGCGGCCGAUAUCAGAUUUAGCUAGUUGGUGAGGUAAAGGCUCACCAAGGCGACGAUCUGUAGCGGGUCUGAGAGGAUGAUCCGCCACACUGGAACUGAGACACGGUCCAGACUCCUACGGGAGGCAGCAGUGGGGAAUUUUGGACAAUGGGCGCAAGCCUGAUCCAGCCAUGCCGCGUGAGUGAAGAAGGCCUGUC
This 391-nucleotide ribosomal RNA is filed under the name uncultured bacterium. RNAcentral describes it as "bacterial SSU rRNA". It matches the Rfam family "Bacterial small subunit ribosomal RNA", at positions 30 to 420 of the family's 1533-position model. The record is from RNAcentral.